RNAcentral lists this unclassified non-coding RNA (425 nucleotides) under soil metagenome. RNAcentral describes it as "partial contains 5.8S ribosomal RNA, internal transcribed spacer 2, and large subunit ribosomal RNA". The stretch from base 1 to 121 matches the Rfam family "5.8S ribosomal RNA", at positions 35 to 154 of the family's 154-position model. The record is from RNAcentral.
GAUGAAGAACGCAGUGAAUCGCGAUAAGUAAUGUGAAUUGCAGAUUUUCCGUGAAUCAUCGAAUCUUUGAACGCACCUUGCGCUCCUUGGUAUUCCGAGGAGCAUGCCUGUUUGAGUGUCAUCGAAACCUCGGAUCGACGCUUCGACCCCGUCGAAGCUCGGUUCGGACUGUGGGAGUCUGCCGGCGAAGCGUGACUUCGUCGGCUCUCCUCAAAAGCAUUAGCUGUGGGUGGCGAGCCUGGCAUGGCACGGCCUGUUCGACGUCGUAGUGAUCGUCGGGGGCUGGAAGUGUAUGGCUCGACGUGACCCAUGCUUCUCGAGUCUUGCGAGCCCGUCCCUCUGUGGGACGGCCGCGCCCCAUCGAAGCUUGACCUCAAAUCAGGUAGGACUACCCGCCGAACUUAAGCAUAUCAAUAAGCGGAGGA